Salvia miltiorrhiza (redroot sage) is the source of this 2546-nucleotide long non-coding RNA. RefSeq lists it as uncharacterized. Lineage: Eukaryota; Viridiplantae; Streptophyta; Magnoliopsida; Lamiales; Lamiaceae. The transcript has 2 exons. The record is from RefSeq and is a predicted model, not a curated record.
GUUAAAUUACAAAACUAUGAUUCAAAUGAAAACAGAUCGAACACACACAUCCAUUACCACUUCUUUUAGACUAUUAUUGUUUCAAUUACAUCAGCUUAUCACCAUCAGAGAACCACCAACAGAAUAAUACACACGCACACAUUUUACUAUAUUCUCUAAUCUAUUACAUGUACAAUCAGUUUUUGUAAAUAGAAAUGAAUGAAAAUGAACAGAAUUGAAACCCUAAGUGCUCUAUGUGUGUUUUGUGCGUGUGACUGGAAUUUGGGGGGGUGAGAGCAGCCGGCGGCUGCUCGCGGCCGGAGGCGGCGCGGCGGCAGUCGCCGCCUUUUUCCUUUGUCUGUCUGAAACGAGAGAAAGAUGGUUAGGGCUGCUGUAAAAAAAAAAAAAAAAGAGAGAGAAGAGAAGGUAGAACAGGGGAGGGAGAGAGAGAGAUAGGAGGGAGGACUUAUCUUCUCCGGUGACGACGACGCGGCGGCAUCGGCAGCGGCGACGCGGCGGCGGAAGCACCGAGCUGUUCCUGGUCGGCCGGAAAAGAGGAAAAGAGGGGGAGCUCAGAUCUGGAGCCUACCUUCCCGGCGACGCAAGGCUCGGCCUCCACCGCGAUUCCAGCCAGACGAACGACGGAGGAGGCGACGGACGGCGGCCGAGCUCCUUCACGGCGAGGCGCAUGCAUCGAUUCCGCCGAGGGAGGAAGGGAGAAGAUGAGUGAGCAGAGGGAGGCGCCGGCAACGGCGGCUUUGCUGCUGCUGUCCGGCCAACGAUGGAGAAUGAGAUGGAGAGAAGGGCGGCGGCCAUGGCUGUCCUGUGGUCGCCGGAGCAGCUCACGGCGGAGCUCGCGAGGAAAACAGUGAGAGAGAGACGAUCGAGUGAGAUAGAGUUGAGGGAAGAGGGCGAGAAGUGAGAGGGAGAGAGGGAGGUAGAGCCGCCGGCCUCCGGCGACGGCGCGACCGUCCGGUGGCGGCGGCAGGCAGGAAGCCGAGAGGGAGAGAGAGGCGUAAGAGUGAGAGAGCGGCUGAUGAUGCUUGUGUGCUGAUGUGUGUGUUUUGUAUAUUUAUAUGUGUGUUAUAGAAUUAGGGUUUAAAUUUUAGGAUUUAUUAUUUAAUUUGUGUGGGCCGAAAAUUUUUAUAAAAAAGAAAGAGAGUGGGCCGAUUUUUAUUUCUAUGUGGGCCGAUUUUAUUUUAAUUCUGCUGGGCCCUUUUUGUUCUUAAUUGAUGGGUUUUUAUUUUAGUUGUGUGGAAUAAUUUUAUUUAAAUGCUUGGGCUAUUGUUUUAAAUAUAGGCCUACGAAUCUUGGCCUUAUUUUUUUUAAAAAAGAAAAAUGUUUGAAUUUACACUAAAUUAUUUAAUGAAUUUAAAUCUCUUGAUUUAAAUUUUAAUAUUUAAAGUUGGGAUUAUUUAUUCUAAAUGAAGUCCAUUCUAUUAUUUAAAUUAUUAAUGGACUUUAAAGCAAAUAUUUUGGGAUUAAGCCCCAUUUAUUAUAUGAUAAAAUUAUUUUCAAAGCUUACGAGUAUGGAUUUCUUUUUUUUAAAUGGUUAAAAUGUUUUAUUUCAUCUCAAUGGAUUUUAAAAUGUUUUAUUAUUUAUAAAUGAAUAAUGGAAUUUCUUAUUUAUUUACAUAAAAAAAAAAUGUAUAGAAUAUAUUAAAUAUGGUUCUUUUUAAAGAAAAAGGAUUAAAUUAUUUUAUGAGUAAUUCCAUUAUAAUGGAAUUAAAAUGUCCUAUUAGAAUGGCUUCAUGUUUUAAUAAAUAUUGAGACUGUUUAUUUACAUGAUAAAAAAAUGUGGAAUUGUGUUAUAGAAUGAUUAAGUAUAUGAUUUACUUUAUCAAAUGAGCUUGGGAUUUAAUUGAGAUAUUAAAUUACUAAGCAUGUGUUUAUAAAUGAUUUAUUUAUUUAAGUGAUGAAAAUGUGCGAAGUAUGAGAAAGCAUGAUUUAUAAUGAUUAAAUUUUCAGAGUAAUAAUAUAUAGCUUGUUCUUAAUUGAUGGAGUACUUGACUAAAUGACGGGUGUAGAAGGAAGUUAUGGAUUAUGUACAUGUUGAUGUUCGAACAAAUGGGUUCGAACCUAUAUGAUAGUUACAUGAUAAUUGGUUACAUUUUAUUGAUUGAAUGAAACGAGAUUAAUAUGGAUGCUAGAACCCUAAAACAUUAAAAGAUACCUUAGGCACGUAGAAUUAGACUUUGUCUUAUGACAAUUUCUUCACGAACUUAUCGACUCUUCAUCAAUGAAGGUCCGGGCGACAGAAAGUGAAGCAGAAGAAGAAACGAUUCCACGCCAGCUUUAAGAACAAUUGAGGUUGAGCAGGCGAUGGAAUGGAUUGGUGUUGAGCGGAUUUCCCUUUUGAUGUUUAUGUAAUGAAACCUUGAGUAUGCAUCUCCAUAUGCAUAACUCACACGUUUUUCCGCUGCAAACACUCUGAAUUUGUUAUCGUAUUGUGGAACUUAUUACUUCUUCAUUUUGUUUAACUUUCAUUUGGGGUUUAGUCGUUAUGGCUGACUCAUUUGUUAAUUACCCAAGUGGUUAUAUAUAUAUAUACCACUAGUUUGUUGUUA